Molecule: RNA transcript, 3795 nt
Organism: Passer domesticus (house sparrow)
Lineage: Eukaryota; Metazoa; Chordata; Aves; Passeriformes; Passeridae
Gene name: serum paraoxonase/arylesterase 2
Exons: 10
Source: RefSeq, a predicted model, not a curated record
GCACGGCCGGGCGGGGCGGGGGCACGGGCAGCGCCGGGCCCGGGGGCGGGACGGGACCGCCCGGGACGCGGAGCGGCCAUGGGGAAGCUGCUGGCGGUGGCUCUGGUGGGGAUAGCGGCAGCCUUGGCGGCGGAGCGGCUGCUGGCUUUCCGGAACAGAUUCAAUGCUUCACGGGAAGUAGCCCCAGUGAGCCUCCCGAACUGCCGGCUCAUUAAAGGGAUCGAAACUGGUUCAGAAGACAUCGAUAUCCUUCCCAAUGGACUGGCUUUCAUCAGCUCUGGCUUGAAAUACCCAGGAUUAAAGAGCUUUGCUCCAGAUAAGCCAGGUGAAAUAUUUUUGAUGGAUUUGAAUGAAGACAAUCCCAGAGCAGUGGAACUGAGAAUCAGCCGAGGGUUUGAUCUGGCAUCGUUUAACCCUCAUGGAAUCAGCACCUAUAUAGACAGAGACGACACCGUGUACCUCUUCGUUGUGAACCAUCCCCACCAGAAGAGCACAGUAGAAUUGUUUAAAUUUGUAGAAGAUGACAAUUCUCUUGUACACCUGAAAACCAUUCGACAUGACCUUCUGACAAGUGUGAAUGAUAUAGUAGCCGUGGGACCAGACAGCUUCUAUGCUACCAAUGACCACUACUUCUCUGACUUCCUCUUGAUGUUCUUAGAAAUGUUCUUGGGUUUAACCUGGUCAAAUGUUGUUUACUACAGUCCAAAAGAAGUUAAAGAAGUAGCAUCUGGGUUUUAUUCAGCCAAUGGAAUUAACAUUUCACCUGAUAGAAAGUACAUCUAUAUUGCAGAUAUACUGGAUCACAGUGUAUAUGUCAUGGAAAAGCAUGCUAACUGGAGUUUAACCCAUGUGAAGAUGCUGCAGCUGGACACUCUGGUUGAUAACUUGUCUAUUGACCCUCACACUGGAGACAUCUGGGCAGGAUGUCAUCCCAAUGGGAUGAAGCUGUUCUACUAUGAUCCUGAAAAUCUUCCUGCAUCUGAGGUCCUGCGCAUCCAGAACAUCCUCUCGGAGGAGCCUGUGGUGACACGUGUCUACUCUGACAAUGGCUCUGUGCUGCAGGGAAGCUCAGUGGCAUCCAUCUACGAGGGAAAACUGCUCAUUGGCACAGUCUUCCACAGAGCUCUCUGCUGUGAUCUAUAGCUCGUCACGGGCAAGACCUGCUGCUGUGGAAAGGAUUUCAUUCCUUGGGAACUCACUUAGUUUCUGCUAGAUCUGCUAACAAGACUGUUCCAAUAAAGGUUAACUACAGUAAUGGAAAUGUAUUUUAGCCUUCCUCUCCAAAGUGAGACUUCUACACAAUAGUAAAGGACAUGGAAUUGAAGAAAAUCAAGACUGCCUUCACUCAUCACUGACUUUUUCCUGUUCUAAACUACUCCUGUGCUGAAGAUUUUCCCGUUGGUCUGCCUACAGAUGGAACCAUGAGCAAGCGAGAGGCCUUAUCUUUUCCAACAGUGUUUGAGAGGAGAGACAUCAUAGCUGCUGUUACUGACAGUGACCUUUUGGCCUGAGACCAGGAGGGCAGGAGCCCAUUGCCAAGCUCCCCCCAGGUAUCCCAGCCUUGCAGUGCAGAGGUGGGAAUUGGAGCAGUGUCCAGGUGGUGCUGGGCAGCAGAGCCAGCAAGCAGCUGGUGUGCAGCAAGAGCCACGCUGGGGCACAGCUUCUGCCUCCUGGCAGCCUCAGUGCAGAAACAGCUGCGGUGGAGGAUGCAGCUCCAGCCUGGCCUCCCAAUUACUAAGUAACCUGCACACCCAAAAUCCAGGCUUGCAAUCCCAAGGAGGGCACAACCCAUCAUCUUUAACACUCUGUGGAGACUGCAGCAGUUCUGGGCAUUUCUGAUGCCCAGCUGCUGCUAUCUGAGACAACCUGCACAAACAAGACAUAUGUACAGAUGGCUCCAGGCCUAGGGAGCUGCUGAGCAGACACAUUUUACACGUCAGCUGUGGACCCAGAGCAUCUUAGUAUAUGCAUUUUAAUUAAGAUAACGAUUUUAUGAAUUGAGGAUUCUUUUUAUCUUCUUGCAGGUGGUGCCCCUAUUAGUGGAAGGUAAGAUUUAUGAUUCAGUCAUUGGGAAACACAAACUGGGUUAGACAGAUUAAGUGCACACUGUUUGGCCUAGAUUCUGCCAGAUGUAAAUCCACUAAAAUGACUAUACAAAUUGCACAGUCUGUGCCCUUCGAUUUUCCCUAACUUAAUGCUUUACUAUAAUCAAAUAAAUAAAAGACUUAUUAAACAUAUACAGUAAAAGAACUGCCGUACUUUUGAAUGUAUAAGAUGCCCAUUAUAAAUAACCUACACUUAAGUGUAAAAUGUUUUUAUGUAACAAAAUCAAUCCAGAUCUUUUAAACACACAAACACUGACCAGUAUCAACGUGAAAGCAGCCUAUUUUUACAUCAACCUGCAGCAAAAGACUGCACGCUACACUUCACCUCCAUAUGAAGAAAAAAGACCAUUUUUUUUCCUUAAUAUAGAUAUAUAUAUAUUUUUUUACUUCUUUCUACAUAGUUACAGAGUGUAAAUGAGACCCACUUGGGGGCUUGUGAAUCAUGCCAAUUUGGCCAAGAACUGGAAUUAAAAUAAUCUUUGGCUGAGUAGAAGGAAGCAAGGAACAAGCAGGGCAAGGUAUAUAUUCCCCUGACCCACUAGCCUGACCCAUGCAGCUGUCUGAUUGUCCUCACCAUUUAUUAUUUCUUCUGGAACGACAAAGAAAAGGGCAGAAAAGGGAGGACUCAUUACAAAUUCUAAUAAAGAUUCAGGAUUUCUCUUUUUAUUGCAUUCGUUGUCUAACAACAAUAAUACUCAUUGGCAAGAAAUUUAUUUACACUAACAAAUUAACUUUAAACCACAAGGCUUUGUUGUUUGUAUUUCAACUGUAAGAAAACAAAGGGCCACCAUGAUGUUUUCUUUUGAUGUCUCCCAAUAACUAAAUAUCAAACAAAGUUAUCCUGGGGAAAACUCAACAAUCUAGAGAAGUUCAUAGCAACCAAGCACAAGAGAACAAGCUCAGACAUGGCACUACUGUGUCCUUCAUGCAGGUGAUCAGACACCAAGAUGUACAAACAAAAAGUUCAGGAUAACAUGCAUUUCAUAUACACUUGACCUCUUUAAAAAAAUAACAGAAAAAGGAAAAAAUCUGAAGCACAACUAUCUCUUCAACCAUAUAAAAAGAAGCAAUGUAAGAAGCCAAUUUUUACAGUAAGCACAGUGCAUUUUAGUCUUUUAGCUGCCUGGUCUUCUAGCAACAUGUGUACACUUCUAAGUGACCAGUGAGAUACCGCUGCAACAUGACUGGGAAAUAGGAAAGCAGUUGUUGGUUGAAUGUGUAUGGAAAAGUAUAGAGUCAGAAGAUGUUCACUGUGCACUCUUCACUUCCAAAUGGGCUGGUUACUCCUAUGUCUGGUGCCCUGAGAUCUCCCUUUCCUUGAGACACUUCUGCACAGGUCCCAAAUCCUCUUCCACUGGUGGCAGUGGCAAAGGUCCCACUGGAAACCCAGCAGGAGUCCCGGGCUCCGGGGCUGGAUCUGACCCUGUGAGCUGUGAGCCCUCCUCGCCUCUUUGGAAGAAGAGACCUGCCUAACUCAGCAGGUUUCACCAACAGCCUGUUCUUAACACAAUCCACACUUCCUAAAGAAACAGGCAGCCCAAGGCACUACCACCAAACUUCCUGUAAGAUGUGCAUUUUUUUAAUCAUUACUUAAUGCUAAAAGUGAAAGUACCAGUUGGUACAGCUGGUUAGUAACAGAAAGCUCAUUUCAUACUGAGGGUUUGGAGGGCUCAAUGUCAUGACUACGGUA